CCCGACGACAAGAGUGCUGUGGUCCUACCUGACCCCAUACCGAACUCAGAAGUAAAACGCAGUAACGUCGAUGGUAGUGUGGUGAUUCGCCAUGUGAGAGUAGGGCAUUAUCAAUC
RNAcentral lists this ribosomal RNA (116 nucleotides) under Mannheimia haemolytica USMARC_2286. The record is from RNAcentral. Lineage: Bacteria; Pseudomonadati; Pseudomonadota; Gammaproteobacteria; Pasteurellales; Pasteurellaceae.